Small nuclear RNA from Anopheles gambiae str. PEST, 127 nucleotides. Lineage: Eukaryota; Metazoa; Arthropoda; Insecta; Diptera; Culicidae. The record is from Rfam.
GUGUCAUUUGAAAGGAGAGCAGGUUAGCACUCCCCUUGACAAGGAUGGAACACAUACCCUGAGAUCAGUGGGCACCCAGAGAAAACCUGAUCUCGGCCAUUUUUUUCGAUGACUUUUAGGUUUUUGC